GAUGAACGCUGGCGGCGUGCCUAAUACAUGCCAGUCGAGCGAACAGACGAGGAGCUUGCUCCUUUGACGUUAGCGGCGGACGGGUGAGUAACACGUGGGUAACCUACCUAUAAGACUGGGAUAACUUCGGGAAACCGGAGCUAAUACCGGAUAAUAUUUCGAACCGCAUGGUUCGAUAGUGAAAGAUGGCUCUGCUAUCACUUAUAGAUGGACCUGCGCCGUAUUAGCUAGUUGGUAAGGUAACGGCUUACCAAGGCAACGAUACGUAGCCGACCUGAGAGGGUGAUCGGCCACACUGGAACUGAGACACGUUCCAGACUCCUACGGGAGGCAGCAGUAGGGAAUCUUCCGCAAUGGGCGAAAGCCUGACGGAGCAACGCCGCGUGAGUGAUGAAGGUCUUCGGAUCGUAAAACUCUGUUAUUAGGGAAGAACAAACGUGUAAGUAACUGUGCACGUCUUGACGGUACCUAAUCAGAAAGCCACGGCUAACUACGUG
RNAcentral lists this ribosomal RNA (497 nucleotides) under uncultured bacterium. RNAcentral describes it as "partial 16S ribosomal RNA". It matches the Rfam family "Bacterial small subunit ribosomal RNA", at positions 28 to 507 of the family's 1533-position model. The record is from RNAcentral.